GGCUUGGUAGCUUAGUUGGUAAAGCACUCAUUUAACAUACACGAGUCGUGGGUUCGAAUCCCACCUGAGCAC
RNAcentral lists this transfer RNA (72 nucleotides) under Aedes aegypti (yellow fever mosquito). It matches the Rfam family "tRNA". Rfam says of the family: Transfer RNA (tRNA) molecules are approximately 80 nucleotides in length. Their secondary structure includes four short double-helical elements and three loops (D, anti-codon, and T loops). Further hydrogen bonds mediate the characteristic L-shaped molecular structure. tRNAs have two regions of fundamental functional importance: the anti-codon, which is responsible for specific mRNA codon recognition, and the 3' end, to which the tRNAs corresponding amino acid is attached (by aminoacyl-tRNA synthetases). tRNAs cope with the degeneracy of the genetic code in two manners: having more than one tRNA (with a specific anti-codon) for a particular amino acid; and 'wobble' base-pairing, i.e. permitting non-standard base-pairing at the 3rd anti-codon position. Lineage: Eukaryota; Metazoa; Arthropoda; Insecta; Diptera; Culicidae. The record is from Rfam by way of RNAcentral.